AUGGCUUCAGAACCAGAGACACCACGAAUAACCGAGCUCCAUGUAAGGAUGGACUGCAACGGGUGCGUGCACAAGAUCAGGAAGACCCUGAGCGGCAUUGACGGCGUAGGCGAGGUACAUGUUGAUCAAGCUAACCACAAGAUCACGGUGGUGGGGAUCGCUGAUCCUGCGAGGAUCGUCAAGGCCAUCAGGAAGGCCAACAGGGUUCCAACCAUCUGCUCACACACCGACCCUGCAGCAGCUCCGGCGCCACCCGCGGAAGGGGGAGAAGCCCCGCCUGCUGAUCCGCCUCCGCCUCCACCCGCGGAAGGGGAAGCACCGCCGCCAGCACCUGCCGACCCACCGCCUGCGGAAGAGGCCCCAGCAGAACCCCCGGCAGCAGAGAACAAAGAGGCGCCGCCGGCUGAAACGCCAGCCACCACCAUGAUAUACGUGGUGCGUGAUUACCCAUACAGCUACCAUGCGUACAGAGGUCACUGGGCAAACCAUCCGAGCAACAUUCAUGGCGUCCGAUACGAUGCUGCUGCACCAUAUUACGCAGCACAUAGUCGUAGGCUCGUAGCUACAGUCCUUACAUAUCAGAGUACGGACAUGCGGGCUCUUCAGCCCAAGAAGGAAGAUGCCACUACCAUCCAGCGGCUGCUACGGGAAGAGGAGAUGGAAGCCAGAUCACUUCGAUGUUCAGCGAGGAGAAUCCCAACGCAUGCAGCAUAG
Molecule: ribosomal RNA, 714 nt
Filed under: Triticum aestivum (bread wheat)
Lineage: Eukaryota; Viridiplantae; Streptophyta; Magnoliopsida; Poales; Poaceae
Description: partial small subunit ribosomal RNA
Source: RNAcentral